UCCCAUGUGGCUCAGUUGGUAGAGCGUGUUUGCAACGCCAGGGUUGUGGGUUCGAUUCCCACGGGGGAC
This 69-nucleotide transfer RNA is filed under the name Salmo salar (Atlantic salmon). It matches the Rfam family "tRNA". From Rfam's summary of the family: Transfer RNA (tRNA) molecules are approximately 80 nucleotides in length. Lineage: Eukaryota; Metazoa; Chordata; Actinopteri; Salmoniformes; Salmonidae. The record is from Rfam by way of RNAcentral.